UACGUAGGGGGCAAGCGUUGUCCGGAAUCAUUGGGCGUAAAGAGCGUGUAGGCGGCCCGGUAAGUCCGCUGUGAAAGUCGGGGGCUCAACCCUCGAAUGCCGGUGGAUACUGUCGGGCUAGAGUGCGGAAGAGGCGAGUGGAAUUCCUGGUGUAGCGGUGAAAUGCGCAGAUAUCAGGAGGAACACCGACUGCGAAGGCAGCUCGCUGGGACGUAACUGACGCUGAGACGCGAAAGCGUGGGGAGCAAACAGG
RNAcentral lists this ribosomal RNA (253 nucleotides) under uncultured bacterium. RNAcentral describes it as "partial 16S ribosomal RNA". It matches the Rfam family "Bacterial small subunit ribosomal RNA", at positions 524 to 776 of the family's 1533-position model. The record is from RNAcentral.